RNAcentral lists this ribosomal RNA (775 nucleotides) under uncultured archaeon. RNAcentral describes it as "partial 16S ribosomal RNA". The stretch from base 186 to 720 matches the Rfam family "Archaeal small subunit ribosomal RNA", at positions 830 to 1343 of the family's 1478-position model. The record is from RNAcentral.
CGCGAGAGCCGGGGUUUUUGCCGACAUAUGAGGGAGGACCGAAAGGCGCUGGGGGGGGAGCAGAAACGGGGUUGGGUACCCCCGGGUGGUCCCAGCCCGUAAAACUAUGGGGAUAAGGGGGGCCCGGAACAUCCGGAGUUAUCCCGGGGGUGCCGAAAAUGAUAAACUUGAAAACGUUCCCCCCUGGGAAGUAACGGUUCGCAAAGCUUGAAACUAAAAGGAAUUGGGGGGGGAAGCCUCCCCAACGGGUGGGAGCCUUGCGGUUUAAUGGACUUCAAACGCCGGGCAGCUCACCGGGAUAGGACAGCGGGAAUGAUAGCCGGGGCUGAAGGCCCUUGCUUGGCCCAGCUGAGAGGAGGUGCAUGGCCGUGGUCAGGGGGGUACUGUGACCCCAUCCCUGUUUAGUCAGGCAACGAGAGAGACCCACGCCAACAGUUGGGGGGGGUGUCCCUCCGGAAUGAUGAAAAAAAAAAGAAGGGACCGCCUCUGCUAAAGAGGAGGAAGGAAUGGGGCGGGGGGGAGACAGCAUGCCCCGAAUUAUCCGGGCUACACGCGGGCUACAAUGGUCAGGACAAUGGGAAACAAAGAGAAAAAAAGUGUAGUCAAUCUCCUAAACCUGUCCCAAGUUCGGAUUGUGGGCUGCAACUCGCCCACAUGAAGCUGGAAUCCGUAGUAAUCGCGUUUCAAAAUAGCUCGGUGAAUAAGUCCCUCUCCUGCACACACCGUAAUCGUAUCCCAGCCCUUCGCGCGAGGCCGCACGCAAGCUCGGACGGAC